RNAcentral lists this ribosomal RNA (1337 nucleotides) under uncultured marine archaeon. RNAcentral's name for it is "partial 16S ribosomal RNA". It matches the Rfam family "Archaeal small subunit ribosomal RNA". The record is from RNAcentral.
GUUGAUCCUGCCGGACCUGACUGCUAUCGGAUUGAUACUAAGCCAUGCGAGUCAUUGUAGCAAUACAAGGCAUACGGCUCAGUAACGCGUAGUCAACCUAACCUAUGGACGGGAAUAACCUCGGGAAACUGAGAAUAAUGCCCGAUAGAACAUUAUGCCUGGAAUGGUUUAUGUUCCAAAUGAUUUAUCGCCGUAGGAUGGGACUGCGGCCUAUCAGUUUGUUGGUGAGGUAAUGGCCCACCAAGACUAUUACAGGUACGGGCUCUGAGAGGAGUAGCCCGGAGAUGGGUACUGAGACACGGACCCAGGCCCUAUGGGGCGCAGCAGGCGAGAAAACUUUGCAAUGUGCGAAAGCACGACAAGGUUAAUCCGAGUGGUUUCUGCUAAAGAAACCUUUUGUCGGUCCUAGAAACACUGAUGAAUAAGGGGUGGGCAAGUUCUGGUGUCAGCCGCCGCGGUAAAACCAGCACCUCAAGUGGUCAGGAUGAUUAUUGGGCCUAAAGCAUCCGUAGCCGGCUCUGUAAGUUUUCGGUUAAAUCUGUACGCUCAACGUACAGGCUGCCGGGAAUACUGCAGAGCUAGGGAGUGGGAGAGGUAGACGGUACUCGGUAGGAAGGGGUAAAAUCCUUUGAUCUAUUGAUGACCACCUGUGGCGAAGGCGGUCUACCAGAACACGUCCGACGGUGAGGGAUGAAAGCUGGGGGAGCAAACCGGAUUAGAUACCCGGGUAGUCCCAGCUGUAAACUAUGCAAACUCAGUGAUGCAUUGGCUUGUGGCCAAUGCAGUGCUGCAGGGAAGCCGUUAAGUUUGCCGCCUGGGAAGUACGUACGCAAGUAUGAAACUUAAAGGAAUUGGCGGGGGAGCACCGCAACCUGAGGAUUGUGCGGUUUAAUUGGAUUCAACGCCGGAAAACUCACCAGUGCCGACGGACAAAUGAAAGCCAGUGUAAUGAGCUUGCUGGAUUGUUCGAGAGGUAGUGCAUGGCCGUCGUCAGUUCGUACCGUAAGGCGUUCUGUUAAGUCAGAUAACGAACGAGACCCUCAUCCCUAUUUGCUAAGGUCAGUCCGCUGAUCACAGGACUAUAGGGAGACCGCUGGCGCGAAGUCAGAGGAAGGCGAGGGCAACGGUAGGUCAGUAUGCUCCGAAUGCACUGGGCUACACGCGCAAUACAAAGGACGGGACAAUGGGCCGCUGCGCCGAGAGGCAUGUGGCAAUCUCGAAACCCGUUCGUAGUUCGGAUUGAGGGCUGUAACUCGCCCUCAUGAAGCUGGAUUAGGUAGUAAUCGCGUCUCAAUAAGGCGCGGUGAAUAUGCCCCUGCUCCUUGCACUCACCGCCC